This 1017-nucleotide ribosomal RNA is filed under the name Triticum aestivum (bread wheat). RNAcentral's name for it is "partial small subunit ribosomal RNA". Lineage: Eukaryota; Viridiplantae; Streptophyta; Magnoliopsida; Poales; Poaceae. The record is from RNAcentral.
AUGAUCUCCGCAAGUACUAGUCCUAUAUGGAGUAUUCUCUGGAAAUUGCAAGUCCCAGCCAAAGUGAAAAUUCACUACUGGAGGGCACUAUAUGGUGCAAUACCCUGUCGGGGCAUUAUGGCUAAUCGGCAUAUGAUCACUAACUCACAGUGCCCUAUUUGCGGUCUGGAUUGUGAGAGUAUCAGCCAUGCUUUCUUCAAGUGUCAACGUGUUCAAGCUGUCUGGUGUGCACUGGGCAUGGCAAACAGGAUCAACGAGCUUUGCUCCCUCGAAAGGGAAGGUGCGGCAGUGUUGGCUGACCUACUUCUAACUCCUAAUGUACCGGCACAGCUGCUUCCGAGUGUUAACUGUAAAGAGUUAAUCGCAACGACAGUUUGGUACCUGUGGUGGGAACGGAGGAAGUUUACGCACGGUGAACAGCUACAGGAUCCUACACGAUCAGCACAAGCAAUUUCGACGCUGUCCAAGAACUUCUCAAGAGCAAAGAAAAAGGGUCCAGGCCACAUUGAGAGACAUGGAUGGACCAAGCCAAGUGAGGGAUUUGUAAAACUCAACGUAGAUGCCUCUUUUUCUGAGGACAGUGGUUCAGGGGGUUCAGGUGCAAUCUUACGCGAUGCUUCUGGAUCUUUCAUUGCAGCAUCAUGUAGCGACAUUCGGUUCGUUGAGGACACGGCGACGGCGGAAGCCCGAGGGCUCCGAGACGGCCUCAUUCUCGCAAACGACAUGGGCUGCAACAAACUGGUGAUUGAGGCCGACUGUAUGGAAGUGAUCCAAGUGAUGCAAUCUGGAGGCAACUCGCUUGGACCGGCAGCAGCUAUUUAUGAGGAGUGCGCUUUUAUUUGUCGUAAUUUUGCUUCAGUUAGUUUUCAACACUGCCCUAGGGAAGCCAAUAUGGCGGCUGAUAUGUUAGCUACUUUGUCGGAGGACUCGCGAACCAUUGUAUGGCAGUCCGAGCCUCCGGGUUUUUUGUUAGACAUUUUGUCAGAAGAUGUAGCCCUUUUUGCUCAUGAAAUAUAA